GUCUUGCUAAAUUGCCCAGGCUGGCCUCUUUUUAUCCUCCUACUUCAGCCUCCAAAGCUGCUGGAAUUACAGGCAGUGGCCAUUGCACCUUGCUUAGAUGUCUCUUGAAAUCCAGCAGAUUUAUGAGAUCUUUCUUGUCUUUUUUCCCAAAUUUGUGAAUAAUUCGUGCAUUUACAAUGCACAUCAAUUAUUGAGUGUCUGGAGGCCAAUACCAUUUUUUACCUCUAAUAGAAGUAGAAUAUUUGGAAACCAACCAAUAGUGUUUAUCUGUAUCAUCACUGAAAUUGUUAAAGGUACCCAUUACCUUUGGUUGAGGUACAUUGGCUGUGCUCUUUCUUUCUUCCAUAUCUGAACUUUGCCAAGUGGUUCCACUGUAUGAUAGUUCAUUCCAACAAUGGCACAUUUAUUAUCUAACCAUUUUACAAUGAAAAUUUCAUUAUUUAUAUUGACUAUAAUAAUCAUAGGACCUUCUUGCUUGUUUUUUCCAUUAAUGUUGUAGAUUUCAGAAGAUACUUGUUAGUCUGUUUUCCCUUAAGGUACCUGUAGAUUGGAAUCCAGUAUUUUUUUGGAGGGGGAGUACUGGUGAUUAAAUUCAGAGGCACUCGACUAAGCCACAUCCCCAGCCCUAUUUUGUAUUUUAUUUAGAGACAAGGUCUCACUGAGUUGCUUAGUGCCUCAUUAAAUUGCUGAGGCUGGCUUUGAAUUCAUGAUCCUCCUGCCUCAGCACCCCGCCACCUCCACCUCCCAACCCCUGUCUUUGUCUCUGGGAUUACAGGUGUGUGCUACUGCACCCAGCCUCCAGCACUUUUUCUACAAUAUAAAUCAAAAUUGAUGCAAUAUCCCAAAACUCCACACAGUGCCCAGAAUUUAUAACCAAAUCUUAUGUUUUUUUUUAAUGUUUUUCUAGUUGUAGAUGGACAGCAUGCUUUUGUUUCAUUUUUUUUAAGUAUUUAUUUUUUAGUUGUAGUUG
Molecule: long non-coding RNA, 970 nt
Filed under: Marmota monax (woodchuck)
Lineage: Eukaryota; Metazoa; Chordata; Mammalia; Rodentia; Sciuridae
Source: RNAcentral